GGAUUAGAUACCCUGGUAGUCCACGCCCUAAACGAUGUGUACUGGAUCGGGGAGGUUUUGACGCCAUCCCGGUCGAAGCUAAAGCGUUAAGUACACCGCCUGGGGAGUACGGUCGCAAGAUUAAAACUCAAAGGAAUUGACGGGGGCUCACACAAGCGGUGGAGCAUGUGGCUUAAUUCGAAACAACGCGAAGAACCUUAUCCAGGGUUUGACAUGCACGGAUUAGCUCGGUGAAAGUCGAGUGACACCCUUGGGUGGAACGUGCACAGGUGCUGCAUGGCUGUCGUCAGCUCGUGCCG
This 299-nucleotide ribosomal RNA is filed under the name uncultured bacterium. RNAcentral's name for it is "partial 16S ribosomal RNA". It matches the Rfam family "Bacterial small subunit ribosomal RNA", at positions 775 to 1067 of the family's 1533-position model. The record is from RNAcentral.